Non-coding RNA from Danio rerio (zebrafish), 363 nucleotides. The record is from RefSeq and is a predicted model, not a curated record. NCBI's taxonomy places the organism in Eukaryota, Metazoa, Chordata, Actinopteri, Cypriniformes, Danionidae.
CAGAUGUGGAGGGAUCUGCAACUAAACUAACUGGAGGAAAGGAACCUUUAGUGUGGGUGAACAUACUACCUUGAUGUCCAACAAAGACUGCACAAAAGCUCAUUUGAUGGCACAUAUUCUGUCCUGUCUACAUCUCUGACGAAGUGCUUCGACAUCAGAUCAUCAGAAGUGCUCCUGCCCUUUUUCACUGUCCCUUUUCCACAACAUCAUUUGGCCUUUAUCAUUUCGUGUCUUGUAGCAAUAUUUUCAUCUGUUUUUAAAAUUGUAAUACUUUUUGAUGCAUUAAUUGUUGACUGGUUUUACUGAUCAAUUUUUCAUUAGUGUUCUGUUGCUGUGUUAUAUUGAAUAAUUGCUACUGUUUCA